GCCAGUAUGAUGGAUAUGAUCCUCGACUUGUAACCGAGUGGGUUCGGGUUCGAAUCCCGAGUAAGGCA
This 68-nucleotide transfer RNA is filed under the name Trichonephila clavipes. RNAcentral describes it as "tRNA-Thr". Lineage: Eukaryota; Metazoa; Arthropoda; Arachnida; Araneae; Nephilidae. The record is from RNAcentral.